Molecule: transfer RNA, 73 nt
Filed under: Marmota monax (woodchuck)
Lineage: Eukaryota; Metazoa; Chordata; Mammalia; Rodentia; Sciuridae
Also listed under: 1 other name
Rfam family: tRNA
About the family: Transfer RNA (tRNA) molecules are approximately 80 nucleotides in length. Their secondary structure includes four short double-helical elements and three loops (D, anti-codon, and T loops).
Source: Rfam by way of RNAcentral
GGGGAUAUAGCUCAGUUGGUAGAGUACUUGCCUUGCAUGCACAAGGCCCUGGGUUCAAUCCCCAGUACCACCA